RNAcentral lists this small RNA (100 nucleotides) under Pongo abelii (Sumatran orangutan). RNAcentral's name for it is "processed transcript". The record is from RNAcentral. Lineage: Eukaryota; Metazoa; Chordata; Mammalia; Primates; Hominidae.
AUUAUAUUUUCAUCACUGUUGAAGAUUUUAUGGAAUUGGAGAAAAGUGGUGCUCUCCUAGAAAGUGGGACUUAUGAAGGACUGAAGGUGUUGACUUCCUG